This 235-nucleotide long non-coding RNA is filed under the name Zonotrichia albicollis (white-throated sparrow). RNAcentral describes it as "lncRNA (ENSZALG00000007638.1)". Lineage: Eukaryota; Metazoa; Chordata; Aves; Passeriformes; Passerellidae. The record is from RNAcentral.
AACCUGGAGGAGAUCUGGGGUCACCAAGGUGGGACCUGGAGAAGGUUUGGGGUCACCAAGGUGGGACCUGGAGGAUCUGAAGAAGAUUGAGGGGCACCAAGGUGGGACCUGGAGGACCUGGAGAACAUUGAGGGGCACCAAGGUGGGACCUGGAGAAGGUUUGGGGUCACCAAGGUGGGACCUGAUGGACAUUGGGGUCACCAAGGUGGGACCUGGAGAAGGUUUGCGGUCACCA